Molecule: unclassified non-coding RNA, 299 nt
Filed under: Hevea brasiliensis (rubber tree)
Lineage: Eukaryota; Viridiplantae; Streptophyta; Magnoliopsida; Malpighiales; Euphorbiaceae
Source: RNAcentral
AGAAGAAGAAGAAGAAAAUGUUGGAUCUCAAGAUGGAUCAAAAGCCCUAAUUGAUGAGAUGACAAUUAAUAACCAUCAAUCAUCACACAUUGAUCAAAAGCCAAAUCUUGUAAGAAUUGAGUCUGAAUGCAUAUCUUCCAUCAUAAAUCAUCACCCUCAUGAUAAAAAUGAUCAAAACUAUGGAGUUAUUAGAGGUGGAGAUCAAUCGUUUGGCGCGAUUGAGCUAGAUUUUUCAACAAAUAUUGCUUAUGCUACUAAUGGUAGUGAUCAUCACCAUCAUCAUCAUGGUGGUGGUGGUG